AAGUCGUAACAAGGUUUCCGUAGGUGAACCUGCGGAAGGACCAUUACAAAUAAAGCUGGUAGGAAGUGGGGUCGUUGCAUUCUGCUAAGGUGGAUGAGAUGGCUGGAAGCCAGUACCCGGACGUCGGCCUUGCCCUCCGAAAAUGUCUUACAUGUCCCCCACAGCCUGAAGGCCGAAUUACAACCCUUGAUUAUCUACACUUGUUGCUUUGGGGGUGCUCAAGUGCCCCAGAGGACCCAACUCUCUUGCAUUUAGUGACGUCUGAGUACUAUAUAAUAUUUAAAAA
This 286-nucleotide unclassified non-coding RNA is filed under the name plant metagenome. Its description in RNAcentral is "partial contains small subunit ribosomal RNA and internal transcribed spacer 1". The stretch from base 1 to 46 matches the Rfam family "Eukaryotic small subunit ribosomal RNA", at positions 1786 to 1831 of the family's 1831-position model. The record is from RNAcentral.